UGGGCCCUGAAUCGAGGCAAGAAGUUUGUUGUAGCUGCUAAUUUCAAACAGGAACCUAGGGAUAAGUCUUCUAGGGUCUGUUGGCCAUUUCAGAACUUUGGCAAUGCUGUAAUCAAUUCACUAUAAAGAAAUAUCU
Small nucleolar RNA from Cavia aperea (Brazilian guinea pig), 136 nucleotides. Lineage: Eukaryota; Metazoa; Chordata; Mammalia; Rodentia; Caviidae. The record is from Ensembl.